This 1300-nucleotide long non-coding RNA is filed under the name Anser brachyrhynchus (Pink-footed goose). Its description in RNAcentral is "lncRNA (ENSABRG00000004925.1)". The record is from RNAcentral. Lineage: Eukaryota; Metazoa; Chordata; Aves; Anseriformes; Anatidae.
AAUUUAUCUCUAAAGUUGGCUGUUUCUAGAUGAUAGCAAGCACUAGUUGGAUAACAGGGAUGGGAGGAAAGGGCAUCAGUGCCCACUCUUUUGUUCGCAGUAGGUUACUUCCAGAGCCUCUUUUGCAGAGGACGUCAAUGGGAGCAGUCAGAGGGGAGAGGUGAGGCCAGGGCAUGUGGAUGCUGCGGGCUGAGCAGCUGGAGGCAGCAUCCUCAGCACCUCGUGUGGCUCCUCUGGACAUCCACAGGGGUGGCUGGCAAGGAAAUCCUGACAGCUUGUGGGGUGGUCAGCAUCUGGGAAAUUCCAGGCUGGCCAGCAGGACUUGAUGCCAGCACUCUCCUUGUGCUCCCCAGUGAAUGGUCCUGGGCUGUUCGGGCUGCCUAGGUGCAAGCAUCUGGGCACUGGGUGCCAGCCAGUGCACCGGGGACACACGUCCCAGUGCCCAGGGGUACGGAGGUGUGAGCGUCGGGCUCCUGAGCUCCUGGAGCAGCCCUCCUGGCUUUAAAUACCCCGCUGUGCCUGCGCUGUUAUCCCCCAGUCAUUGAUCCUCCAUCCACGCUUCUGAGGGUGGCUCUCUCCAGAAGGUGCCCUCCGAGCGUCCCCAUAGCACACGGGCGAGACGAAGCCCAGCCCCAGCGUGCAGUGGCAGCUUCUGCUUUCCACUAAAAAGGAGGCGUCUCGAGCAGCAGCUUACCUUCUCCGCAAUCCUCCAGCGGCGAGAGUGCUCAUCCAGGCGUUGGAGUGGGUGCGUGACGCACUCCUCUGCCUGCAGGGCCUGACCACCGGCUCAGAAGCUUUUCUGGGGAUUUCCUCUUGCGCUGGCAAUUGAAGCUGUGCUUAACUCAGCCCUUCCACUAGACAGAGAGCUUGGAGGUGCUUAUUCAGGACUCAGGAUUACUUUCUAGGAGGCCGAGUUCGUCACUGAGAAGCGGCGAGAGCUUGGUCAUAGGAGAUUGAGCUAAAUUAAUCGAAGCUGACAAUCGCUGGGUCUGCUCCACAGUCACUGAAUGAUAAAAUGUAUUCAAAUGUGCUGCCAGUGGAACAUUUGGUGGGAUUGUUUAUUUCUCAUACCAGGCCUGAUACGCUCAUUAAAAAUAAGAGAUCCUUCUGGACAGAUUACUUCUGUGCUCCCAUUGGCCAUGCUUCUCUCAAUGAGUUAUAAAUAGAAGUCAAAUAUUUUGCAACAGAGUAUGUUCAUUUUGCUGUUAGCUGGAUUAGAGGAAGGUUAUUUUUCUGUUUUCAGGAAUUUGUUAGCUCAUUCAAAAAUAAAGCUGCUGGUAAUGUUGCUCUAAUUUUAUUU